RNAcentral lists this transfer RNA (68 nucleotides) under Marmota monax (woodchuck). RNAcentral's name for it is "tRNA.Ala". Lineage: Eukaryota; Metazoa; Chordata; Mammalia; Rodentia; Sciuridae. The record is from RNAcentral.
GUUGUGGCUCAGUGGUAGUGGACUUGCCUGGCAUUCAUGAGGCACUGGGUUCGAUUCUCAGCACAACA